Molecule: small nucleolar RNA, 199 nt
Filed under: Meriones unguiculatus (Mongolian gerbil)
Lineage: Eukaryota; Metazoa; Chordata; Mammalia; Rodentia; Muridae
Description: Small nucleolar RNA SNORA73 family (ENSMUGG00000020960.1)
Rfam family: Small nucleolar RNA SNORA73 family
About the family: U17 (SNORA73A and SNORA73B) also known as E1 belongs to the H/ACA class of small nucleolar RNAs (snoRNAs). Vertebrate U17 is intron-encoded and ranges in length from 200-230 nucleotides, longer than most snoRNAs.
Source: RNAcentral
CAAAAAUGAAGAGCUCUUCACUCUCCCUGGGCUCUGUCCUAGUGGCCUAUGGGAGCAUAGGGCUUGGCCCAGUGAUGUACAGUCCCUUUCCACAACAUUGGAGAUGAAGCUGGGCUUCGAGUUCAUGCCUGCAUAUUCCUACAGCUUCUCAGAGUCCUGUGGACAGUGACUGAAGAGACAAACCAUGCAGGAAACAUAA